RNAcentral lists this ribosomal RNA (525 nucleotides) under fungal sp. E14603A. RNAcentral's name for it is "eukaryotic LSU rRNA". The stretch from base 181 to 334 matches the Rfam family "5.8S ribosomal RNA". Lineage: Eukaryota; Fungi. The record is from RNAcentral.
UCAUUGCUGGAACGCGCCUCGGCGCACCCAGAAACCCUUUGUGAACUUAUACCUUACUGUUGCCUCGGCGCAGGCCGGCCCCUCCACCGGGGCCCCUCGGAGACGAGGAGCAGCCCGCCGGCGGCCAACCAAACUCUUGUUUCUUAGUGAAUCUCUGAGUAAAAAACAUAAAUGAAUCAAAACUUUCAACAACGGAUCUCUUGGUUCUGGCAUCGAUGAAGAACGCAGCGAAAUGCGAUAAGUAAUGUGAAUUGCAGAAUUCAGUGAAUCAUCGAAUCUUUGAACGCACAUUGCGCCCUCUGGUAUUCCGGAGGGCAUGCCUGUUCGAGCGUCAUUUCAACCCUCAAGCCUGGCUUGGUGUUGGGGCACUGCUUCGAGAGGAGCAGGCCCUGAAAUCUAGUGGCGAGCUCGCCAGGACCCCGAGCGUAGUAGUUAUAUCUCGUUCUGGAAGGCCCUGGCGGUGCCCUGCCGUUAAACCCCCAACUUCUGAAAUUUUGACCUCGGAUCAGGUAGGAAUACCCGCUG